This 395-nucleotide long non-coding RNA is filed under the name Bos taurus (domestic cattle). RNAcentral describes it as "long non-coding RNA NONBTAT015557". The record is from RNAcentral. Lineage: Eukaryota; Metazoa; Chordata; Mammalia; Artiodactyla; Bovidae.
CAGGGUUUCUAGACUCCUUUUCCCAUCUUCUGCAUCCCUAAAUGAGGCUGCCAGCCGUCUAUAACAUGAUUGGCCAGAAAAGUCUCCCUUUCAUAUGUCUGAAAUCUCCACACUAGAGUCAAUACCUUAGGAAAUUCCUAGGGAGGGUGUAAGCUUUUUCUUUCUAGUGUUACAGUCUUUAAUAUAACUGUCAGGGAAAUAGACAACAUAACAGCAGCUUUGAGAGACUCCAAAGAGGAGUAAAUGCUUCUAGGGACUACAAAAGGGUAGAUUGGGAAAAUUUACACUAAUUGAGCAUCUCCUGUGCACCUGCUGUCAUGCUGUGGCUUCCAACAACAAGCAAAUUAACAUUCACUGAGUUCUCAAAGCAAGUUGCCAUUUCCUUUGUGUUAAAG